RNAcentral lists this ribosomal RNA (522 nucleotides) under uncultured bacterium. RNAcentral describes it as "partial 16S ribosomal RNA". It matches the Rfam family "Bacterial small subunit ribosomal RNA", at positions 358 to 891 of the family's 1533-position model. The record is from RNAcentral.
GGAAUAUUGCACAAUGGGCGAAAGCCUGAUGCAGCGACGCCGCGUGCGGGAUGAAGGCCUUCGGGUUGUAAACCGCUUUUAAUUGGGAGCAAGCGAGAGUGAGUGUACCUUUUGAAUAAGCACCGGCUAACUACGUGCCAGCAGCCGCGGUAAUACGUAGGGUGCAAGCGUUAUCCGGAAUUAUUGGGCGUAAAGAGCUCGUAGGCGGUUUGUCACGCCUGGUGUGAAAGUCCAUCGCUUAACGGUGGAUCUGCGCCGGGUACGGGCAGGCUAGAGUGCAGUAGGGGAGAUUGGAAUUCCCGGUGUAACGGUGGAAUGUGUAGAUAUCGGGAAGAACACCAAUGGCGAAGGCAGAUCUCUGGGCUGUUACUGACGCUGAGGAGCGAAAGCAUGGGGAGCGAACAGGAUUAGAUACCCUGGUAGUCCAUGCCGUAAACGGUGGAUGCUGGAUGUGGGGCCCUUCCACGGGCUCCGUGUCGGAGCUAACGCGUUAAGCAUCCCGCCUGGGGAGUACGGCCGCAA